GUGGGGAAUAUUGCACAAUGGGCGAAAGCCUGAUGCAGCAACGCCGCGUGAGGGACGACGGCCUUCGGGUUGUAAACCUCUUUUAGUAGGGAAGAAGCGAAAGUGACGGUACCUGCAGAAAAAGCACCGGCUAACUACGUGCCAGCAGCCGCGGUAAUACGUAGGGUGCAAGCGUUAUCCGGAAUUAUUGGGCGUAAAGAGCUCGUAGGCGGUCUGUCGCGUCUGAUGUGAAAACUGGAGGCUCAACCUCCAGCCUGCAGUGGGUACGGGCAGACUAGAGUGCGGUAGGGGAGAUUGGAAUUCCUGGUGUAGCGGUGGAAUGCGCAGAUAUCAGGAGGAACACCGAUGGCGAAGGCAGAUCUCUGGGCCGUAACUGACGCUGAGGAGCGAAAGCGUGGGGAGCGAACAGGAUUAGAUACCCUUGUAGUCC
Molecule: ribosomal RNA, 430 nt
Filed under: uncultured bacterium
Lineage: Bacteria
Description: bacterial SSU rRNA
Rfam family: Bacterial small subunit ribosomal RNA
Source: RNAcentral